RNAcentral lists this ribosomal RNA (249 nucleotides) under Amphinema sp. (in: basidiomycete fungi). Its description in RNAcentral is "Amphinema sp. (in: Fungi) partial large subunit ribosomal RNA". It matches the Rfam family "Eukaryotic large subunit ribosomal RNA", at positions 104 to 344 of the family's 3401-position model. The record is from RNAcentral. Lineage: Eukaryota; Fungi; Basidiomycota; Agaricomycetes; Atheliales; Atheliaceae.
AAAGCUCAAAUUUAAAAUCUGGCGGUCCUCUGGCCGUCCGAGUUGUAAUCUGGAGAAGCGUUUUCCGCGUUGGACCGUGUACAAGUCUUCUGGAACGGAGCGUCGUAGAGGGUGAGAAUCCCGUCUCUGACACGGACUACCAAUGCUUUUGUGAUACGCUCUCGAAGAGUCGAGUUGUUUGGGAAUGCAGCUCAAAAUGGGUGGUAAAUUCCAUCUAAAGCUAAAUAUUGGCGAGAGACCGAUAGCGAA